CAGCCGCCGCGGUAAUUCGUAGGGUGCAAGCGUUAAUCGGAAUUACUGGGCGUAAAGCGUGCGCAGGCGGUUCGGAAAGAAAGAUGUGAAAUCCCAGAGCUUAACUUUGGAACUGCAUUUUUAACUACCGGGCUAGAGUGUGUCAGAGGGAGGUGGAAUUCCGCGUGUAGCAGUGAAAUGCGUAGAUAUGCGGAGGAACACCGAUGGCGAAGGCAGCCUCCUGGGAUAACACUGACGCUCAUGCACGAAAGCGUGGGGAGCAAACAGGAUUAGAUACCCUGGUAGUCCACGCCCUAAACGAUGUCAACUAGCUGUUGGGGCCUUCGGGCCUUGGUAGCGCAGCUAACGCGUGAAGUUGACCGCCUGGGGAGUACGGUCGCAACAUUAAAACUUAAAGGAAUUGGCGGG
RNAcentral lists this ribosomal RNA (408 nucleotides) under uncultured microorganism. Its description in RNAcentral is "bacterial SSU rRNA". It matches the Rfam family "Bacterial small subunit ribosomal RNA", at positions 509 to 917 of the family's 1533-position model. The record is from RNAcentral.